GCCUAGCUCAGUUGGUAGGGCAUGAGACUCUUAAUCUCAGGGCCGUGGGUUUGAGCCCCGUGUUAGGCA
Molecule: non-coding RNA, 69 nt
Organism: Podarcis lilfordi (Lilford's wall lizard)
Lineage: Eukaryota; Metazoa; Chordata; Lepidosauria; Squamata; Lacertidae
Source: the annotation of a GenBank genome assembly